AGAACGAACGCUGGCGGCAUGCCUAAUACAUGCAAGUCGAACGAACACUUCGGUGUUAGUGGCGCACGGGUGCGUAACGCGUGGGAAUCUGCCCUUGGGUUCGGAAUAACAGUUGGAAACGACUGCUAAUACCGGAUGAUAUCGAAAGAUCAAAGAUUUAUCGCCCAGGGAUGAGCCCGCGUAGGAUUAGCUAGUUGGUGAGGUAAAGGCUCACCAAGGCGACGAUCCUUAGCUGGUCUGAGAGGAUGAUCAGCCACACUGGGACUGAGACCACGGCCCAGACCUCCUACGGGAGGCAGCAGGUAGGGAAUAGUUGGACAAGUGGGCGCGAAGCCUGAUACCAGACAAAUGCCGCGUAGAGUGAUGAAGGUACUUAGGGUUAGUAAAGUCUACGUUUACCCGAGAUGA
Molecule: ribosomal RNA, 408 nt
Filed under: uncultured soil bacterium
Lineage: Bacteria
Description: bacterial SSU rRNA
Rfam family: Bacterial small subunit ribosomal RNA
Source: RNAcentral